Pipra filicauda (Wire-tailed manakin) is the source of this 1765-nucleotide RNA transcript. It is a transcript of the gene named C-type lectin domain family 2 member D-like, with no coding region annotated. NCBI's taxonomy places the organism in Eukaryota, Metazoa, Chordata, Aves, Passeriformes, Pipridae. The transcript is spliced from 7 exons. The record is from RefSeq and is a predicted model, not a curated record.
CUGUCUGUCCCUCCGGGCAGCUCCUGCAGCACCGCCGCGGCUCUGCUGUCACGUUUAAUUCUAUUUUCUAUAUUUUAUUCACAGCUCCCACCCCGCUCGGCGCAGCCCUUCUGGCCACCCCCGACACCGCCCGUUCAGUGACACGGGGCGGGGGGACCCCUCGGUGCAGCCUUUUAUUCUGUUUUACUCUAUUUCUUGUCUUUUCUUCUGUUCCCACGCUCGCUGCGGCUCUUUCAGACGUGGGCGGUGGGAACCCCUCGCAGCGAUUUUAACGCCCCCGCGGAGCCAAGAAAUGCCGGGAAACAGUUUCGACGCGCGCAGCUGCUUUUCCUGCCAGUCCCCGGCACAUUUUACAAGCAGUAACACAAAUGGGCUGUGCCAGCGCUCGGUGCCCCUGGGCUCCAAACUGCCGGGGCAGGAGCCACUGGGUACAAUCCUGAGAUACCUUUCCCCACUUCCCUCAUCACGACUGUUGAGCUUUUCUUCACGGAAAUAAUUCCCCUUGGCAAUGAAAGGCUGUAUAACAAGGUCAUAAGUACUAUUAUGUCAAUAUUUGUGCUUGGUUGGGUGCAUUCCGGUCCAUCUUUUAUGGUAUUUAAAGUGCAGAGCCUCCAUCCCAGCCUUAUGAGCAACCACGUGGGACCCCUUCAGCCAACAGCCUCCCCCUGGGUUUCUCAGAUGUCACAAUGCUGGUCAUACAUCCCCAAGAGCUUCUCAUUUCUUCUGGCUCCAAACUGUGCAGCUUUCACGAGGUGACAGUUUGGAAUAAUUCUGUCCCCUGCCCGGGUGAGGAGGGGGGUGACAGAGCAGCAUCUGGCACCAACCAGGGCCAGCCCAUCACAGAUCCCUUGGUUGGGAACUCUUAAAUAUUUGUAAGUAAGCAAGGUGCAAAAAAUGGACUUUGUUCCUUCAAAAAUGAACCACACUGAGAGUUGUUGGAGAACAGCAAAACAGCCAAAGAGCUGUAAACUGAAAACCACGCCUCUGUGUUUGACUCCCGUCCUGUCUGUGGCUCAACAGACUCAGUUCCGAGAAAUCAGCCACCCAUUGACAGCUGCCCUGCGAGCCCCUUGUUGCUGACAGGGGUUGCUUCUCAGGAAGAGAAAUGAGAAAAUCGUGGUGAAAAGAGGCUGCUGAAUGCAUCCACCCCACAGAGCCCAGGGAAUGUCAGCCCUGGGCCCUGAGACUUCUGUGCCACGAUGGGGAAGGGAAUCCAAGAGCCAAAUUCUUCAAUCCAGGAAGAAACAUUGUACACCUACGGCCAUCCAGAGAAACAGUGCAAAUGGGGGUCCUACAGAACCGAGUCAGACUGGAGAACAUCCCCCAAGGUGCCUGUUCUCGCUCUGAGUGUGUCCCUGGGGAUCCUCACCUUCAGCCUGCUCAUGGCACUGACUGUUCUCAGUGUGAGAUGCCAGUUCUCUGAGCCGGAAUUCUCCCACGUGUGCCCAGACACCUGACCUGGUUUCCAAGGAAAAUGCUAUUAUUUUUCUGAGCCUGAGGGCAACUGGACCAUGGGCCAGGAAAGGUGUGAGGCCCUGGGAGCUUCCCUGGCCACCAUAAGCACGAGGGAGGAACUGGCCUUCCUUCUGCGCUAUAAAGGCGAAGCAAACCACUGGAUCGGGCUGGGAAUGAGGGAUAACGGCUGGGAGUGGAUCAAUGGCACGGCCUUGAACGGCAGGUUUGAGGUGCGGGGUGAGGGACCCUGUGGGUACCUGUACUAUUGGUGGAUCAGCUCGUCCCUGUGCCACACGGAGAAGAACUGGAU